Molecule: long non-coding RNA, 1236 nt
Organism: Acanthochromis polyacanthus (spiny chromis)
Lineage: Eukaryota; Metazoa; Chordata; Actinopteri; Pomacentridae
Exons: 4
Source: RefSeq, a predicted model, not a curated record
AAUGCAGGGUGCUGAAUGAAAAUGGAUACUUGUUUGCAUUGCCAAAUUCUGUCCAUUACCUCAGAGGUUCUGACUGCAUCAGGCAGUUUGUGAAUGACUGUGAUGGCAUCAAAACUCCAGAAGCACUAACUUCAACAAAACUCAGAAAGCACAUUGCUACCCUCUCAACUGUUUUGAAUCUCAAGACAACAGAGCUCGACCAGCUUGCAGAUUUCCUUGGACAUAACAUAGCCGUCCACAGAAAGCACUACCGUCUUCCAGAGGGCACCCUCCAGCUAGCGAAGAUAAGCAAAGUCCUCCUGGCGUUGGAACAGGGACGGCUAGGAGAAUACAAAGGGAAGAGUUUGGAUGAGAUUCAUCUUGAUGUGAAUGGUAUUAAGCCUGAUUAAGAUUUAAUGAAAGAAACGUGAAAAAUCACAACAUUUAAAUCUGUAAAUCCUACAUUUUAGCAAGUAUUUGAUCUUAACACACUAAUAAGGAGGGCAAGUUCAAGGGGCUUAUAUUUUGAUUGGAACUACACAUUUCUAGUCACUAUAUUAACAGUCCAACUAUUUAGGUAGUACUUUUAUAUGCUCUUGUCAUCUUGAUCACAACAGUUUGUUUUCCAAUACAUUUAUAUGCUAUCAAUUUCAGAGACUGUUGCCAUGGAGACUUGUUCACAAGAGGACAUGGAAGAAGGCAGUGUGCCACAAGGAGAGGAUUCAGAAGAUGAGGACAGUGUGCCACCCCUAUUUGAAUGUACCUCAUCAUCUGCUCAAAACGAAGUGGUGUCAGCAAAAAUGACAGAAGCCAGUGUGGCACAAGGUGGGGACUCAGAUGAUGACGGUGUGGCAUCCCUACAAGAAUGUACCUCAUCAUCUGCCCAAAAGCAGAUGGUGUCAACAAAAAAGAGAGGUAAACAAUCUGCUGUCAAAAGAAGCUGGACACCAGAGGAAUCUGCUGCAGUUGACAGACAUUUAAGGAAAUUCAUAGUGAGAAGCCAAGUACCCGGAAAAGUGGACUGUGAGCGCUGUAUUACUGCAGAACCUCAAGCACUAGGAAACAGAGACUGGAAAGCAGUAAAAUACUUUAUCAAAAAUCGCAUUUCUGCCAUCAGAAGAAAACUACAGUGAAUGGCUACAAGAUGUGAGCACAGUUGAUUUUACAAACACAAACAAAUGAUGGAGUCAACAGAGCAGCCACCUUAGUGCCUUAAAAUGGCUAACUUCCUGUUCAGGGAAUGUUUUGUUUGUUGUG